Mastomys coucha (southern multimammate mouse) is the source of this 416-nucleotide long non-coding RNA. RefSeq lists it as uncharacterized. The transcript is spliced from 2 exons. NCBI's taxonomy places the organism in Eukaryota, Metazoa, Chordata, Mammalia, Rodentia, Muridae. The record is from RefSeq and is a predicted model, not a curated record.
GCUGUGAAGCAGCAUAUUCUGGACAUGACAACACUUCUGACUCACCAUCUCACAGCAACUGCAGCUUCUUGCACAAAACAUGCACAAGACCAAGUUAGUCAACGUCGAAACAUGGGGAGAAUGCUCAUGAGGCCAACACUCCUGUCUGGUGAGCUUUGGACUGUUGAGCGCUUCUAGAGGAAGAAGAGACAGUUUCAUUUAAGGAUGUUGUCCAGACAUGCCAAAGACUAUCCUGGAAUCUUGGCAAGAUCAAGUUGUCCUGGAGGAGAUUCUACACACUUACAUACUGUAUCUGUUCAUUUCACUUGUUCAGCAUGCAUCCCAGAAGGUUUUUUAAUGUACCAGCUAGAGUUACAGGUUCUGGAGACAUCACAAUGAAGACAAUAAAUAAAGCUCUCACACCACUUUAUUGAGAA